This 1168-nucleotide long non-coding RNA is filed under the name Monodelphis domestica (gray short-tailed opossum). Its description in RNAcentral is "lncRNA (ENSMODG00000038991.1)". The record is from RNAcentral. Lineage: Eukaryota; Metazoa; Chordata; Mammalia; Didelphimorphia; Didelphidae.
UACAACAAUAGGGGCUCAUGAGGCCAAGUUUUGAGUGGCUAGGAGCCCACAGAGUACCUUGAACCUGGAGUAGUUUUGUCUGGGGGACCCACUUGGUGAGUAGGGAAUGGUAUGACUCCAAGUGCUACAAAUAUGAAAGCAAUUAAUAAAUAGCAAAAUGCUAUAUAUUCAAAAGUAAGGUAUUUUGAAAAUUAUUAUUACUCACUUUCCAUAGAUAGUUCUGCUUAUUGGAAAUGUGAAUAUGCUGUUUUUCUAGAGUAUUGUCAUAGUUGUGAAUCAUUUUAUGAACGUUUUGUUUUUAACUCUUCUGCAUUAUUGUUUUAGAGAUGAGGAAAAUCGAGUUCAGAAAACACCACAGUCAAAAAAUAUUUUGGGAAGGAAUUAGCAAGGAUGUGUCAGAGUUGCACACAGUCGUCAGCCUCAUGCUCUUCCAGAAUCAUUGAAAUCCAGUGGCAAGAUAAAUGCUUGUCUGUUGAAAUUUCACAGACGAACACAGUGUUAGACACUGGGGAUCUACUAACUACUGAAGCAACAAGUCACAUUCAGAGAUAAGUAUAAAUCAAGGUAGUGUGUGAAAGAGCCAAAGAGCUCCAGGAGAAUUGGAGGAGGGAGAGGACACACUCGGCUAGGGGAGAUGGGAAGAUUAAGAGAGGGCUUUGUGGAACAGAUGGCAUCUGAACUGAGGUGUUGUUUUUUUUUUUAACUCUUACCUUCUGUCUUAGAAUCAAUACGGUGUAUAUUGGUUCCAAGGCAGAAGAGCGGUAAGGGCUAGGCAAUGGGGGUUAAGUGACUUGCCCAGGGUCACACAGCUAGGAAGUGUCCAAGGCCAGAUUUGAAUCCACGACCUCUUGCCUCUAGACCUGACUCUCAAUCCACUGAGCCACCCAGCUGCCCCCUCCCUGAACUGAGUUUUGAGAAAAGAAAAAAGAUUUUUGCUUCCAGACCCAACACUCUGCCCACUGUAUCAUAGUCAAAUUAUGGGAAUGUGGGUGUAUCUAUUGACUCUGAUGACGAUAUUAUGCUCUAUGUUAUGUCGUAGACCCUUGGGAGAAUGUAAGCCAAAGGCUUGGCUAUAAAUGGAUGGAGAAAAAACAAGAACUACAUUUUGUACCUUGGCUAAAGGGACAGUGAGCUGGUACCUGGAUUCUUCUCUAGAAUUUAUUCCUGC